GCUGUGUGGCCGGCAAGCAAUUCUUACUUCGUGCGAUAAGUAAUAAUACUCAUUAGAGUAUUCGCGUUUCUCGUUGGAAAUUCGGUAUAUCGGGUUAGAUUUGAUUGAAUUUAGUGUUAAUUGUCGUGUUUGGCCAUUUGCUAAAUAUUUAUCGCGUGUGUAUUCUUCGGAAUUCAGUAUUUCGUGUGUUCCAUUGCAUUUUCGCGUGGGUUCGUGAUCCGUUGCCGUCGGACGCCGGUCGGCCAUGUUGUGUGAUUGCAAAUAAUAUUUUGGACUUGUGCGAACCAUUUGUGUCUUCAGCGGAAUUCGAUGGGCGACUGUUCUACCUGUAUCUUCUCGCAUUUGAUUUACGGUGUUCGAUACACUGUGCUUGCCGUACCCGUACAAUCCGAUGAGCGCUGAAUUGAUUUCAAUUUUACAAGUCGAAACUUGCAAAAUAUCCAUGAAAAAUUCGUAAUUUUUCAUUCGGAUUUUGGCGUGUCGGUCUUGUAGUCGAACAGCCGCAGGCGCUCCGAACUUAUCGACGGACCACUUCGAGAUCGCGUUCAAUAAGACAGUUAACCACUUCGAUUGCGUUAACGUAAGAAAGAAUAAUUGCCGGCCCCAACCUACAGCUGCGAUGUCUCUGCGCUUCAUCCCCGGGUUUCUUAGCCACAUCAACAAUAUUCUUAGUGGGGACAGUCCUUGUGGUGGGGAAAUAAGGAUAAUAAAUAAAUAUUUUAAACAAUA
Molecule: long non-coding RNA, 729 nt
Organism: Dalotia coriaria
Lineage: Eukaryota; Metazoa; Arthropoda; Insecta; Coleoptera; Staphylinidae
Exons: 4
Source: RefSeq, a predicted model, not a curated record